GACGAGCGCUGGCGGCGCGCCUAACACAUGCAAGUCGAACGAGCGAGAGAGAGCUUGCUUUCUUGAGCGAGUGGCGAACGGGUGAGUAACGCGUGAGGAACCUGCCUCAAAGAGGGGGACAACAGUUGGAAACGACUGCUAAUACCGCAUAAGCCCACGACCCGGCAUCGGGUUGAGGGAAAAGGAGCAAUCCGCUUUGAGAUGGCCUCGCGUCCGAUUAGCUAGUUGGUGAGGUAACGGCCCACCAAGGCGACGAUCGGUAGCCGGACUGAGAGGUUGAACGGCCACAUUGGGACUGAGACACGGCCCAGACUCCUACGGGAGGCAGCAGUGGGGAAUAUUGCACAAUGGGGGAAACCCUGAUGCAGCGACGCCGCGUGGAGGAAGAAGGUCUUCGGAUUGUAAACUCCUGUUGUUGAGGAAGAUAAUGACGGUACUCAACAAGGAAGUGACGGCUAACUACGUG
RNAcentral lists this ribosomal RNA (466 nucleotides) under uncultured bacterium. RNAcentral describes it as "partial 16S ribosomal RNA". It matches the Rfam family "Bacterial small subunit ribosomal RNA", at positions 28 to 507 of the family's 1533-position model. The record is from RNAcentral.